This 440-nucleotide ribosomal RNA is filed under the name uncultured bacterium. Its description in RNAcentral is "partial 16S ribosomal RNA". It matches the Rfam family "Bacterial small subunit ribosomal RNA", at positions 338 to 795 of the family's 1533-position model. The record is from RNAcentral.
CCUACGGGAGGCAGCAGUGGGGAAUAUUGCACAAUGGGGGAAACCCUGAUGCAGCGACGCCGCGUGAGUGAAGAAGUAUCUCGGUACGUAAAGCUCCUUCAGCAGGGAAGCAAAUGACGGUACCUGACUCAGAAGCCGCGGCUAACUACGUGUCAGCAGCCGCGGGAACACGUAGGGGGCAAGCGUUAUCCGGAUUGACUGGGUGUAAAGGGAGCGUAUACGGUAGCCCAAGUCUGGAGUGAAAUUGCAGGGCUUAACCCCGGAACUGCUUUGGAAACUGUGCGGCUUGAGUGCAGGAGGGGGAAGCGGAAUGCGUGGUGUAGCGGUGAAAUGCGUAGAUAUCAGGAGGAACACCGGUGGCGAAGGCGGCUUACUGGACUGUAACUGACGUUGAGGCACGAAAGCGUGGGGAGCAAACAGGAUUAGAUACCCUUGUAGUC